GCAGGCCAGGAGACUGCUGGACCUCUAUCUCUUCUCAGUGGUCCUUAAACCUCCUGGUGGAGUAUGUCCCAACUCUGUCUUUGAUUAGUAAAUGACUGCAUGUUGCCAAAGGAGGGACCUAGUCCAUGUACAUGUCUAUUUUUACAGAUCAUAUGGGUAUAAGCACUUAUAGGGUCUUAACACGUCAUUCGUUUGUUCAUCAUCUGUGAUCAGGAGCCUGAGGUCUCCCAUCUCAGCUCUGGACACCCUAGAUGUCCCCAUGGUGUGUGUUGUCACAGACAAAGCCUGCUCUGACUUUGUGCCCUGGCAGUGGUAACAUUCUGAGGUUGUUACAGAGCCCAUCUGUAUUAACGCUUUGUGUAAAAUAGCUGCUUUUGUGUCUCUUUCCUUCCUUGGGUAAGAACUCCAGGUUUUCUAUAGCUGCCCUCUCAGUACACAUUUUACCAGUCUUAUCAGUGAUAUAAACAGGGAAUUGAGUUUUCUACAAGCUUAUUCCUUCAUGGUCUGAACUCUUACUUUAAAAACAUUCAUAUUCAAAGACUUCGUGGUCAUAUAUUGGAUAGGUUUUCUAGCCAAGCAUUUUGCUGGAUUGGUCAAGGCACAGCUGUGAGCUGCCAUAGUCCUGUCAGGCGGCUCCCCAUGGGGCCCAUGUGUCUGAAUGUUGCCUGUCGCCAACGUGUCACUGCUGGUGAUUGGGAAGCCUCACUGGAGCCAACACUCCUCUGCUUCCAGCCGAGGGGUGAGGCCCCGCCAAGGCCUAAUGGAUGCUUUCCAAGCCCCGAACCAUUUCUCUGCAUUUUCAUGGCGGGGGGGGCCCCUCCCCGCUCCAUCCUUGUCACCUGGCUUUGGGCACAGUGUGUGCUUUACUGCUUCACGUGGGCCUUCCUUGUCUACCUGACAAUGAAAUUUGGGACCCUGUUCCCGGACCUGCCUUUCUCCUCCAGCACUUGUAGAACACACAUCAAGAGUUCCCAUGGUGGGAGUUCCCGUCGUGGCGCAGUGGUUAACAUAUCCGACUAGGAACCAUGAGGUUGUGGGUUCAGUCCCUGCGCUUGCUCAGUGGGUUAACGAUCCGGUGUUGCCGUGAGCUGUGGUGUAGGUUGCAGACGUGGCUCAGAUCCCAUGUUGCUGUGGCUCUGGUGUAGGCCGGUGGCUACAGUUCCGAUUCAACCCCUAGCCUGGGAACCUCCAUAUGCCGCGGGAGCGGCCCAAAGAAAUAGCAAAAAGACAAAAAAAAAAAAAAAAAAAAAAAAAAA
RNAcentral lists this long non-coding RNA (1256 nucleotides) under Sus scrofa (pig). Its description in RNAcentral is "lncRNA (ENSSSCG00005001317.1)". The record is from RNAcentral. Lineage: Eukaryota; Metazoa; Chordata; Mammalia; Artiodactyla; Suidae.